This 317-nucleotide unclassified non-coding RNA is filed under the name uncultured Trichoderma. RNAcentral's name for it is "sequence contains ITS1". The stretch from base 1 to 105 matches the Rfam family "5.8S ribosomal RNA", at positions 50 to 154 of the family's 154-position model. The record is from RNAcentral. Lineage: Eukaryota; Fungi; Ascomycota; Sordariomycetes; Hypocreales; Hypocreaceae. RNAcentral also lists the same sequence under 1 other name.
GAAAUGCGAUAAGUAAUGUGAAUUGCAGAAUUCAGUGAAUCAUCGAAUCUUUGAACGCACAUUGCGCCCGCCAGUAUUCUGGCGGGCAUGCCUGUUCGAGCGUCAUUACAACCCUCAGGCCCCCGGGCCUGGCGUUGGGGAUCGGCGGAGCCCCCCGUGGGCACACGCCGUCCCCCAAAUACAGUGGCGGUCCCGCCGCAGCUUCCAUCGCGUAGUAGCUAACACCUCGCGACUGGAGAGCGGCGCGGCCACGCCGUAAAACACCCAACUCUUCUGAAGUUGACCUCGAAUCAGGUAGGAAUACCCGCUGAACUUAA